This 467-nucleotide ribosomal RNA is filed under the name uncultured bacterium. RNAcentral describes it as "partial 16S ribosomal RNA". It matches the Rfam family "Bacterial small subunit ribosomal RNA", at positions 28 to 506 of the family's 1533-position model. The record is from RNAcentral.
GACGAACGCUGGCGGCGUGCUUAACACAUGCAAGUCGAACGGAAAGGCCCUGCUUUUGUGGGGUGCUCGAGUGGCGAACGGGUGAGUAACACGUGAGUAACCUGCCCUUGACUUUGGGAUAACUUCAGGAAACUGGGGCUAAUACCGGAUAGGAGCUCCUGCUGCAUGGUGGGGGUUGGAAAGUUUCGGCGGUUGGGGAUGGACUCGCGGCUUAUCAGCUUGUUGGUGGGGUAGUGGCUUACCAAGGCUUUGACGGGUAGCCGGCCUGAGAGGGUGACCGGCCACAUUGGGACUGGGAUACGGCCCAGACCCCUAGGGGAGGCAGCAGGGGGGAAUAUUGCACAAUGGGCGGAAGCCUGAUGCAGCAACGCCGCGGGGGGGAUGACGGCCUUGGGGUUGUAAACCGCUUUCGCCUGUGGCGAAGGGUGGGUGACGGGAAUGGGUAAAGAAGCACCGGCUAACUACGU